Non-coding RNA from Sebastes umbrosus (honeycomb rockfish), 570 nucleotides. The record is from the annotation of a RefSeq genome assembly. NCBI's taxonomy places the organism in Eukaryota, Metazoa, Chordata, Actinopteri, Perciformes, Sebastidae.
CCAGUUUCACCAAACAGGAACUGAGAUCCAUUCAGAUCCAGUUCUACACUGAGAGGAGGAGUCAAUGCAAAACUCAGAUGUCUUCCACCUCUACUUAUCUGACUGCAGAGAGGAGGACAGAGGACAGUGGACACACAGUUUAACAUGAUGGACUAUAGGACAGGACUGCUGCUUUUAACCAUCUGCUGCUGGACAGGUGUUUCCAGUCAGACUCUGACUGAGUCUGAACCAGCGGUAAAGCGCCCAGGAGAUUCACACAAACUGACAUGUACUUAUGCAGGAAUAUCAGAUAGCGAUGCUCAUAUCGCCUGGAUCAGACAAGCUGAAGGAAAAGGACUGGAGUGGGUUGCCUAUAUUUCUGCUCCGAGUGGAAGCACUAAAGCGUAUUCCACGUCAGUCCAGAAUCGGUUCACCAUCUCCAGAGACAACAACGUGGACCAGGUGUAUCUGCAGAUGAGCAGCCUGACGACUGAAGACUCUGCUGUUUAUUACUGUGCUCGACGGCCACAGUGAUACAGGAAGCCACAGAGCCGUACACAAACCACCGCAGAUGUCACUGCACCAGUCACU